AGUAAGAUCCCUGAGAGAUGAUCAGGUAGAUAGGUCAGGAGUGGAAGUACAGUGAUGUAUGGAGCGGACUGAUACUAAUCGAUCGAGGACUUAACCAAUU
Molecule: ribosomal RNA, 100 nt
Filed under: Enterococcus faecium
Lineage: Bacteria; Bacillati; Bacillota; Bacilli; Lactobacillales; Enterococcaceae
Also listed under: 1 other name
Description: partial 23S ribosomal RNA
Rfam family: Bacterial large subunit ribosomal RNA
Source: RNAcentral